Molecule: long non-coding RNA, 1229 nt
Organism: Dreissena polymorpha
Lineage: Eukaryota; Metazoa; Mollusca; Bivalvia; Myida; Dreissenidae
Exons: 2
Source: RefSeq, a predicted model, not a curated record
GCUACGCUUGCGGCAUAUGUCAUACGCGGGUCAUAUGAUAAUAGUUCUACGCUUGCAAGAAAUUAAACGAGUAUCAAUACAACAAAAUGUUCAUGCAGGUAAGUUAUGCUCGUGUACAUAAGUGUAAACAACUCUAUGAAAUAAUUACAAUGUAAACAGUUUAAUAUCGACAAAUGUUCAUAUAUAAGGUCAUACUGCCUCUUUUCAUCCUCACCAGCAAUCCCCCUCCCCCACCCCGGUAUUUUUAAUACUGGCUAAAACCCGGCGUUGUUGAUGUAUUUUAAGCCUGGUGGUCGGCGGACUCAACUCUUCGGUUUCCAGACGACUGUAACAGCGAAGCCUUGCGGACCUUUGCGACCAACUGCGGGCUCUCGGAGCACUCCAUGGGGAACCACUACAUCCUGAGGGAUCCAAAGAGCAAUGACAUCAACAACAUCGUCAUAGUGAUACCAGAUGACUUGCGAGAUUUCGGCACGUGCGAGAAGAUCGUUCGAGAUCUCAAUGAGAGAUGCAAUAAGGAUUACUUCGACUACUAACGCUAUGUUAACAUCAAUCUUGGCUUUUCACGUUUCUUCGUCGUUAUACUCUUCGAUCAGAUUUUUAAUAAGAACUGUAUUUUAGUGGUAUAAAUUAUUACAUUCGUACAAUUGUUUAUCAAAUACGAUACAAUACUUUAGUGUGUUCUAAAGACAAACUAUUUUAACAAACAAUCUGGUCUUAAUGCAUGUAGUGAAAGUGUCAUCCUUGUUCUGCGUGUGUAAUUACUGUCUAAUCAUGGACGACUCUUUCCGCAUUUAGGGAAUAGUUCGUACUCAAAAAGUAAUUUCUAAACGAAAGUCCAAUAAUGGCCCAAAGUGGUGUCCCUGAUUAGCCUGUUUGGACUGCUCAGAUUAUUUAUUACGACGCUUUGCGCACAUGCGUUAAGCCCAGUUUUUCAAGAAUGCUGUUAAUUUAAACAAAACGAAUCGAUUGGUUUCAGGCUGAGACCAGGAGCUGUAAACUUUUAUUUGCCGUAAAUAUCUGUAAAUUUCUAAACUUUGUUUUAUGUAUUUAAGGCCGCUUCUGCUAAUACAUAUUAUCGUCUCGAACUUUUUGUAUUUGUUAAAUGAACAUACUUUGUCUGUGGAAAGUGUUGCAAAAUACACUCACCUUUGAUAAAAAGGCUUUUUAUACUUUGUAUUCGAUGUACUGGGGUCUACAUUGAAGAUAUAAUAACAGAAAGAAAAUUA